GGGGGCGCGGACUCACACUGAUCCGAGGUCACAUUUCAGAAGUUGGGUGUUUAACGGCUGUGGACGCGCCGCGCUCCCGAUGCGAGUGUGCAAACUACUGCGCAGGAGAGGCUGCGGCGAGACCGCCACUGUAUUUCGGAGACGGCCACCGCCAAGGCAGGGCCGAUCCCCAACGCCGACCCCCCGGAGGGGUUCGAGGGUUGAAAUGACGCUCGGACAGGCAUGCCCGCCAGAAUACUGGCGGGCGCAAUGUGCGUUCAAAGAUUCGAUGAUUCACUGAAUUCUGCAAUUCACAUUACUUAUCGCAUUUCGCUGCGUUCUUCAUCGAUGCCAGAACCAAGAGAUCCGUUGUUGAAAGUUUUGAUUCAUUUUCGAAACGCCUACGAGAGGCGCCGAGAAGGCUCAGAUUAUAAAAAAACCCGCGAGGGGGUAUACAAUAAGAGUUUUGGUUGGUCCUCCGGCGGGCGCCUUGGUCCGGGGCUGCGACGCACCCGGGGCAGAGAUCCCGCCGAGGCAACAGUUUGGUAACGUUCACAUUGGGUUUGGGAGUUGUAAACUCGGUAAUGAUCCCUCCGCUGGUUCACCAACGGAGACCUUGUUCAUUUUUAAAACUUCCAAAAAGAUAUAAAAAAAACG
Molecule: unclassified non-coding RNA, 636 nt
Filed under: Trichoderma harzianum
Lineage: Eukaryota; Fungi; Ascomycota; Sordariomycetes; Hypocreales; Hypocreaceae
Description: sequence contains 18S rRNA gene, ITS1, 5.8S rRNA gene, ITS2, 28S rRNA gene
Source: RNAcentral